Long non-coding RNA from Saccostrea echinata, 256 nucleotides. RefSeq lists it as uncharacterized. The transcript has 3 exons. NCBI's taxonomy places the organism in Eukaryota, Metazoa, Mollusca, Bivalvia, Ostreida, Ostreidae. The record is from RefSeq and is a predicted model, not a curated record.
UCAGAAGCUACGUCAUGCAUGGAUUCCGACAAACAAGAUUGUAGAAACACAGCUAGUACAGGGAUAUUCAAGAACUUGGAGGCAGUAGCUUAAAAAAAAAGAAUUGUGAGGUUUUGGUCAGGGGGCAAAAUCCAUCAGUAGCCACACCUACUGGUGUGCCAUAAGCUGUGAAGGAAACGGAGAGCAGCUUAGUAUUUGUGAAAUUGUGUUCCAUUUUAAGUUUCCAAGAUGUGAGCAUGGUGAACUUGAUGAUGAC